CGUAAGUUAAGAUACUAAGAGCAUACGGUGGAUGCCUUGGCGAUAUCUGCCGACGAAGGACGUGACAAGCUGCGAAAAGCUG
RNAcentral lists this ribosomal RNA (82 nucleotides) under Mannheimia haemolytica. Its description in RNAcentral is "partial 23S ribosomal RNA". Lineage: Bacteria; Pseudomonadati; Pseudomonadota; Gammaproteobacteria; Pasteurellales; Pasteurellaceae. The record is from RNAcentral.